This 822-nucleotide long non-coding RNA is filed under the name Olea europaea (common olive). Its description in RNAcentral is "long non-coding RNA (OEUR_LNC000778)". Lineage: Eukaryota; Viridiplantae; Streptophyta; Magnoliopsida; Lamiales; Oleaceae. The record is from RNAcentral.
ACACGCAAAUCCAUGACUUUUCUUUAUUUUUUAACCACACAUUUCCCAUUAAUACACUAUUCAAAAAUGCAUUUUUUGACAACAAGGGGGUUUAAACAAGGGCUAAAUAAAUUUUGACUAUUUUGUUGCAGGCAAACCAUUCCAACAAUUCUUUUUUUUUUUUUAAUGAUUAUGGGUGUCCGGGCCAGCUCACGCGCACCUCGACUAAUCCCACGAGAACCUGAAAUUUACAGUCGGCUACUCACCUCAAUGGUCCUGAGGAGACUCGAACUGGUAACCAUUGGGGAGCAAACCAUUCCAACAAAUGAAUCAACAUAAAGCAGAAAAAAUCACUUGAUGAUGUCUUGCGUACAAGUAUCACAACUUGUCUACAGAGAGGAGACAGAUACACUAGUACAAACAUGUGAGUGAUACUAAGAAAAUUCAGAUUCUCUCAGUGCAGAACCGACACUCUUAAUGAGUCAGCAUAAAGCAUAAAAACUCAACCUGAUGGUGUCAUGGGAACAAGUUUUGAAGACAACUCAUCUACAGAUGGUAUUGUAACAGUGCACCCACUUAACAACACACCAAUAAACAGAAAUCUCAUUGCAUGUGGAUGCUUUCUAUAAAAAUCACCUUACCUCGUAUACAAACUAUGAUAUUACAACAACAAUCCAGAAUUUUUCAGUAAUUGUGAAAACUAAAAGACUCAGCCAAUCAAUCUUGUUUACUUUUUUCGCGUCAAUAAUCAGUGUAACAACUUUUUGAGACUACAGCUGCAACAUGAGCCUGCUUGGUUAGUUGGUUAGAAGGGGAAAAAUUCACAGUAAGCUCAUUUUUUUN